RNAcentral lists this transfer RNA (68 nucleotides) under Kaloula rugifera (Szechuan narrowmouth toad). RNAcentral's name for it is "tRNA-Gly". It matches the Rfam family "tRNA". From Rfam's summary of the family: Transfer RNA (tRNA) molecules are approximately 80 nucleotides in length. The record is from RNAcentral. Lineage: Eukaryota; Metazoa; Chordata; Amphibia; Anura; Microhylidae.
AUUUUCUUAGUAUAAUAGUACAGGUGGCUUCCAACCACCAAGCCCUGGUUUAACCCCGGGAGAAAAUA